Molecule: long non-coding RNA, 645 nt
Filed under: Pongo abelii (Sumatran orangutan)
Lineage: Eukaryota; Metazoa; Chordata; Mammalia; Primates; Hominidae
Description: lincRNA
Source: RNAcentral
ACUUGGGCAGAUCCUGCAACUUUCUGUAGUUGGAGUAUGUCCAGUUCUCUGUAAAUUCCAAACUUGUUAAUGUUCAAAAGCCUCCCCUCCCCAGCAGCUGCUGAGGGGUGGCCUGGGCUGAGCUCUGAGGUCUCUCCUAAUGUUGGGAGCAAAGAAGGAAGCCAUAUGGCUGAGUUCUUCCACUUGCUGGUGGCCUGUCGGAGGCAGGAGCUCCCUGGUAUCUGCUUUAGCGAGGAAGAUUCUGUGGGAUCCUGGUGGUCUCUGAGGUGGCGGGUGUGGCUUUCAUGGGAGCAGUGUUCAGCUCCACCCCAGGCCCUCUGUCACUGGGGACCUGCCACAGGAAGGGGCUUUGUCCCCUUUUGGUCCAGCCUGGGGAAUGCCAGCUCCCGGGGCCCACUUUCGGCACUCCUGGAGCACUCUGGAAAAGCUCCAGUAGGUCCUCUUGGUAGUGCUGAGGCCCCAGAACUGGGAUGGCAGGGCCGUCUCUGGCUUCCCAGCCGUAGCGUCCUACACCCCACAGAUCCCCUCUGCCCUCUAGCACAGGCAGCCAGCGGGUACCCAGCCUCUAUGGUCACACAAGCUUCCUCUUGGCUGUCUCACUGCCCUUCUUCCAUGGCAUGCCCUCACAUGGACCCUCGAUUCCGU